This is a long non-coding RNA of Perca flavescens (yellow perch), 801 nucleotides long. RefSeq lists it as uncharacterized. The record is from RefSeq and is a predicted model, not a curated record. Lineage: Eukaryota; Metazoa; Chordata; Actinopteri; Perciformes; Percidae. The transcript has 4 exons.
UGUAAAUGAAAACAACAACCACUGGAAGUUUGUGGUGAGUAAAAGAAGUUGACACACCAAAGUUAAAUGUAAUGGGCUGGUCAUUCUUUAAUCUUGUAUGUAUUCUGAAUGAUUUUUUUUGUGCAUCCCUGGACUGUACCUUCAUGCUCCAACAAGCCAAAUAUUCAUUGUUGAUCCUGCUGACCCUGAGAGUGAUCUGGAAGAGUCCAGGGAAGCAGCAAAACGCUUUUGGCUGUUAAUAUAUUCACAAACUUACCGUUCUUUUCUGAUAAAAUGGCAAGACAAAUCAUCCAAAGCUUUCCAGCAAUUCCAAAGCGACUCAAUAUCAAUUCGCAACGCAAAAACAUUGCACGUCUAAGAGAACAAAUGGCAGAGGAGAUGCUUCUUGCAUCAGUCCAAAAUCAAUUUCUGCUCUGAAUGCGGAUUCAAAGUUCCUCUGGCCUUACAAAUCCGAACAGAAGAUAUUCUCUGGAUCGAAUGUGGUAAAUGCAGAAACAGAUGGUUCCAUGCAUCUUGCCUUGGAAUGACAGAUGCCAGUGCUCCCAAGAAAGACAUUGGAUGGUAUUGUGCAAUUUGCAUUUAAGAAAUACAAAAGGAAUGUUAACAUGUUAACAUAACACUAUGAAUGUUUGAAGAUUCAUGGAGGUCAGAAAAAAUGUCUGCUGUAGUAACAAAAUCUAUAGCUACAGUACAUGUUUGUUACAUUUUGGCGAGUACUAGCCUAAGUCAGUCACUAGCCUAAGGCAUUUCUUGUCUAAUAAAUUACAUUCUGUAGUAGAAGAUAAAGACUGGGAAAGAGAU